Molecule: ribosomal RNA, 254 nt
Filed under: uncultured prokaryote
Description: partial 16S ribosomal RNA
Rfam family: Bacterial small subunit ribosomal RNA
Source: RNAcentral
UACGGAGGUGGCAAGCGUUGUUCGGAAUUAUUGGGCGUAAAGGGCGCGUAGGCGGCUUGACAAGUCAGAUGUGAAAGCCCCGGGCUUAACUCGGGAAUUGCAUCUGAAACUGUUUUGCUUGAGUCCUGGAGGGGGUAGUGGAAUUCCCAGUGUAGCGGUGAAAUGCGUAGAUAUUGGGAGGAACACCUGCGGCGAAGGCGGCUACCUGGACAGUGACUGACGCUGAGGCGCGAGAGCUAGGGGAGCGAACGGGA